This 497-nucleotide ribosomal RNA is filed under the name uncultured bacterium. Its description in RNAcentral is "partial 16S ribosomal RNA". It matches the Rfam family "Bacterial small subunit ribosomal RNA", at positions 28 to 507 of the family's 1533-position model. The record is from RNAcentral.
GAUGAACGCUGGCGGCGUGCCUAAUACAUGCAAGUCGAGCGAACGGACGAGAAGCUUGCUUCUCUGAUGUUAGCGGCGGACGGGUGAGUAACACGUGGAUAACCUACCUAUAAGACUGGGAUAACUUCGGGAAACCGGAGCUAAUACCGGAUAAUAUUUUGAACCGCAUGGUUCAAAAGUGAAAGACGGUCUUGCUGUCACUUAUAGAUGGAUCCGCGCUGCAUUAGCUAGUUGGUAAGGUAACGGCUUACCAAGGCAACGAUGCAUAGCCGACCUGAGAGGGUGAUCGGCCACACUGGAACUGGGGCACGGUCCAGACUCAUACGGGAGGCAGCAGGAGGGAGUCUUGCGCAAUGGGCGAAAGCCUGACGGAGCAACGCCGCGUGAGUGAUGAGGGUCUUCGGAUCGUAAAACUCUGUUAUUAGGGAAGAACAUAUGUGUAAGUAACUGUGAACAUCUUGACGGUACCUAAUCAGAAAGCCACGGCUAACUACGUG